CCCAAGGAUGGGGCCGCGACCGAUCAGGUUGUUGGUGAGGUAACGGCCUACCAAGCCUUUUACCGGUACGGGCCGUGAGAGCGGGAGCCCGGAGAUGGGCACUGGGACAAGGGCCCAGGCCCUACGGGGCGCAGCAGUCGCGAAAACCUCGCAAUAAGCGAAAGCUUGACGGGGCUAUCCCGAGUGCCAUCCGCUGAGGAUGGCUUUUCCCUAGUAUAGAUAGCUGGGGGAAAAAGGAGAGGGCAAGUCUGGUGUCAGCCGCCGCGGUAAUACCAGCUCUCCGAGUGGUGGGGAUGAUUAUUGGGCCUAAAGCAUCCGUAGCCGGCUGGGCAAGUCCCCUGUUAAACCCAGCGAUCUAAUCGUUGGCCUGCGGGGGAUACUGCUUGGCUAGGUGGCGAGGGAGGCCGUCGGUAUACCCGGGGUAGGGGUGAAAUCCUAUAAUCCCGGGAGGACCACCAGUGGCGAAGGCUGUCGGCUAGAACGCGCCCGACGGUGAGGGAUGAAAGCUGGGGGAGCGAACCGGAUUAGAUACCCGGGUAGUCCCAGCUGUAAACGAU
Molecule: ribosomal RNA, 557 nt
Filed under: uncultured archaeon
Lineage: Archaea
Description: bacterial SSU rRNA
Rfam family: Archaeal small subunit ribosomal RNA
Source: RNAcentral